This 107-nucleotide ribosomal RNA is filed under the name Pteropus alecto (black flying fox). Lineage: Eukaryota; Metazoa; Chordata; Mammalia; Chiroptera; Pteropodidae. The record is from RNAcentral.
CACUACGGCCAUGCCACCCUGAACAUGCCUGAUCUCAUCUCAUCUCAGAAGAUAAAUAGGGUUUGUAGUACUUGGAGACCACCUAGGAAUACCAGGUGCUGUAGGUG